CUCUUCUAAGUUAGUUGUAAAUUUGUCAAUGAUUAAUUGUAAAUUUGUCAAUGAUUACAUAUACUCUGGAAUUUUGACUUCAAAUGUGGUACAUGUACUCUGAAAUUUUGCCUCGCGUGGUGUACGUGUCAGAUGUAUGUAAAUGUAUGUAAAACUUUAUUUCAAUACGCUAACUUCGACAAUUAUUUACAACUGGUUUCCACGAAGGGCGUAUACACACAAAGAGCUAAAUGUUAAUUAUAUAUAGAACAAAAUAUGUAAG
Paramuricea clavata is the source of this 262-nucleotide non-coding RNA. NCBI's taxonomy places the organism in Eukaryota, Metazoa, Cnidaria, Anthozoa, Malacalcyonacea, Plexauridae. The record is from the annotation of a GenBank genome assembly.